GGAGUUCAGUUGGUAGAGCAUGAGAUUUUUAAUCUCAGGGUUGUGGGUUUGACCCCCACGUUGGGCU
Molecule: non-coding RNA, 67 nt
Organism: Podarcis lilfordi (Lilford's wall lizard)
Lineage: Eukaryota; Metazoa; Chordata; Lepidosauria; Squamata; Lacertidae
Source: the annotation of a GenBank genome assembly